CUCAUUGUAGUUUAUUUAAAACGUCGACCUGCAAAAUCGAAGAAGGACCCCAUCUCCCAGUGUGU
RNAcentral lists this transfer RNA (65 nucleotides) under Conus gloriamaris. RNAcentral's name for it is "tRNA-Cys". Lineage: Eukaryota; Metazoa; Mollusca; Gastropoda; Neogastropoda; Conidae. The record is from RNAcentral.